UUAUACGGUAGGCUGGUUUGUUAUUGUGCGAAGUUAUCGUUUUGCGCAAUCCCUUUCUUUCAAGGCCGCUCAACCGCGGCCCAGGUGCAAAGAACCACACAAACUGAGUGGCAAAUGACGUUACCAUUUGUUCGCGGAAGUGGCUUUUUUGUGUUGGUAGAAAGGGGAGGAAAGGAAGAGAAACUAAAGAAGAAAAGUUUCAGCCCUCUUUCUAAAGAAAUUAAUAUGCACACUGUACGACAGCUGGCGUUUUGAACCUUCGCAUUCAGCCACUUGUGUAAUUUAGUUAGAAGUAGGCCUACGGGACAACAACAGCUGGGAGAAAACAAGAGGCACAAAAGGGACAAGGAGGAAGAUAGCUGGUGGAACAGGAAGUGGCCACUAUUACGUUUAUGUAAACUCCACAAUACCUACUAUGCAAUGGAAACUAUGCUACCAUUCUUACUAUGUAAAAACAUGUUACUGCAAGAAAAUUAAUAAAUGAAUCCCAGUGUUACCACACAGGUUUAGAGAAAGUGAAUCUAAAGUCUGACUAAACAGGCUGGUUUUGGCUUUCUGUAAAUGCUCUAGUUCUUUUUCAGCGACCUAAUCAGAAUUUCGGAUUACACUACAUUUCUGUGAUGUGCAAUAUAGUUCUUUAGCAUAUUGUCAAGAUGGCAUUCUCAUUGAGAUGAUUUAAUGUUUCAAUUGGUCUAGGUUCUAUAUUGUAAUGGAAGUGGAACUAUAUGUUUCAGACAACACCGAUCAUUUAAAUCAUCUGUGACAAGCCCUGACUAAAACAGUGCUCUGUAGUUGGAUACGUGCCAUACAGAACAUUCAACAACAAGCUGUGAUGCUGGGCCCUUCAUAAGCCUAUGAUUCGGGCUGUAUUGGUGUGGCCAGAUACAUAAACACACACAGUUGUUAUGGUUACCUACACCUCAGUCUGUGAUGGGACUUCUGUUGUUAGACAGCUGGCCUGGUCCUGAGCCCUAUACCACGUAUGUGGUUUGAGGAGUUAGCGAGGUCACUUUGGUCAACUCUGAGUUCAACUCGGGAUAACUGGUACCACGACAGUGACUCACCUUUCAGCCAGGUACAUUUCUAUGGCAACAAAUCCAGAACUAACCUGCACCUGGGCAGGCUUACUCAGGGUUAACUCCAUGUAUCCUGAAUGAAGUGUCACGAGUUAAAGACCAAUAAAAUCAAGUAAAACGUGUGUAUAACUUAAUACGAUUAUUAUAUCGAUAGGAGUGGGGGAAAGGUGCUUGUGUAUUGAUAAGCACACUAAAGAAGGUAUUAACUAUAAUAAAAUAAAGACGGCCCUUCAACGAGCCUAUUUUACACCACAGCCUGCUGAAUGUGCAGCAAAACUCUUUUCAUUUUGCACAAAUUAAGACGUGGCACUGACUCGCCCAUGGAUGGAUGUUUCAGCCUUGCCUCAAUGAAAAGUUUGGUGUUCCACCAGACACGUGUGACAUGCAUGCACAGUUACAAGCCUGCUAGAGUUAGCAGCAGGCAUAUAAGCAAUAUCCACUGUUGUAGUACGGAUGAAGCCUGAGCUGGAAUGUGACUCAAGCUGGCUAGCUUUGGAAAACCCUGAGUAAAUCUAAGUUUAAUCAUAGUAUACCACUCUGAUGGUUUGGCGACACCCCAGACAGACAGGAGUCAGGGAUGGAGUGGAUAGAGGUAGGCUUGUGUCUGAACAGACUGCUUCAUAAUAAGCCCAGCUCCCAUAUCACACUCUCACACACUCUUUAAACUCACUGUCAGUGGGUUAUCUCUCUGAUGGUGACGAAGAGGAGGAAGGCUUGACUGACUGCUGCAUGGGGAUAAUAAACUCUGAGAGACUGAAAUGUCAGUGUUAGAAAUGUACAUGCACACACACAACCAACUAAUCUAUUAAUCUAUCUGUCAAUCAAAUACAUCCUGUUUGACACAGAGCUUCACAAUCCACCUCAGACCCUCUCAAUCAAACAAGGUCUGCCUAAUCUAAUGCAGACCCUAUCAAUCAAAAGCAGAACCAAUCAGUCCUGUCUGUGUGAUAAGCUUGGCUGGGUGACACCUUUCGUUAACUCCCUUUUGAUUUGGCAGACAGGUGUGUGUAUCUCUGCUCAAAAAUAAGUGUGUGCGAGUGUGCACGUAUGCAUGUGUGCGGACGUGUGCCAGCCCUUAGUUGCAAUUGGCAACAGUCUUGGAUUUCACUCAGCGUCAGUUUGUAUAUCAAUAUGAUGCUAUGCCUGACAUGUAGCUCACUGCCAGAGAAAAAAGCCAAGCAGCUGGCUAGAUACUUCUCUGUUUUAGCUGGCAAGAUACUGUUUCAGCUGUUGUGAGCAGCAGCUUAUCUGCAUCAAGAAGAGGUUUUGUUUCCAUGGUUUUAAGAACAUUCAUAUGUAUGACCUUUGACUUAUUUGGGUCCUUCACUGUAACACUUAAUUGUGGACCCAAAUAGUUUUCAGCGUGUGUGGAAACACUGUAGGAGCAGUUAUCUGGGUCUCAGUGUGUGGUUGUCCGUCUUACAACGUAGCGGAAGAGAUGGUGAUGCCUGAGCUCCACUUCCUGCCCUGCAGCCCUGGUCUGCCUCCUACUCACUUCACAUAGACACUUAAGACUACAUGCUGAGCUGCAGACAGAUUCACUCCCACAUAGAUACAUUUAAACUAAAGGCCUACUAGUAUUUACUUGAUGCACUUCAUAACUGUAAGUCGCUUUGCAUAAGUGUCUUCUAAAUGGCAUAUAUAAUAAUCAAGUCCCAAAGUAAUCAUUAUGAUACCACUAUUCAUAGAUUCAUAGAUUUUAUUUUGUGAUACAAAACAGGGAGCUUUAUCAGGGUUGCACAUGCUUCAUACUCAGGCCAAUAAUAUACUGGUGCUUCCUGCCGGUCCUGUCGGUCACAUUUGGUGAGCAAAGUUAAAGAGGGACAUUCCUAAUGUCUGAUGUUAUUAAUAGGAGUACAUAUGAACAGGAAGCGAAUGGAACUCCUGUCCACUGAAUGGAAGCGAAUGAAAUGAAUAGAAUGGUUAGCUCCCGUACUUCCUGGUCUCCUUUAUGACAUCUCUGUGCCUAAUCCUGUUUUCUGCCAUCCUAGGUUCAUGGCAUUGGAUCUGUGUGGUGUGAACACCUUUGUGUGGGAGGUUUGUGAGGUUAGAAGGGAACUGUUUCAGUCUCACAUCCUGCUCUGGCCGAGGCUACAGUUUCCAGGGAUUACUUAUUGUUUCUCUGUAAAGUGUUACACUCUGAGUUCCCUAUGGUGUGCAGUCUGUGUAGUGUUACACACUAAUAGUUCCCCUGGCUGGCUGAGCCUGUAGUCAGGAGUUCUCUGUCUACCAUACCAGUAUGUUUGUGAAUAAAGUGAUACGACUCUGAGUUUCUUCUGUCUUUGUGCUGUUGUUUUGAAUUAUCAAAUUUAUUUGGGCCAUGGGUUGUGUAGGGUAGGCUAUGAGUCAGAGCGAGUCUGUAUAGAUUUGGACAGGACAGACCUGUCCUGUGUGUUGUAAUGUAUUGGUCUCCGUUAAGGCCUGUGGUUCUGGACAGUGAGGUGUGUGCGCGUGCGUUUGUGUGUAUAGCAUUUCUUGGGUCCUGUAGAAUUGGUUAAUAUUCAUCAAAGUAGCAACACGGAAGGGAGAGGGACAUUGGCAGAAGAGAUGGAGAGAGACUGAUGGGAGAUAUCUUGUUAUUCAGUCAAGUCUAGCAGUCACUGCCCUGAGAAUCUUUGGUUUAUAUAUGACAGCUUUGCACGCUCUUAGUGAAGACAUCAAAACUAUGAAAUAACACCAUUAUUCUACAAUAUAGAAAAUAGUAAAAAUAAAGAAAAUAAUUAGUAGGAGUGUCCAAACUUAACUGCUACUGUAUAUACAUUUUUACACCCAGGUUAAAACACUCACCAGACAUAUAAUUAGGUACACCCAUCUAGUACCGGGUCAGACCCCCUUUGCCUCCAGAACAGCCUGAAUUCUUUGUGGCAUUCUACAAGGUGUCGGAAACGUUCCACAGGGAUGUUGGUCCAUGUUGGCGUCAUGGGCUCAUGCAGUUGCUGCAGAUUGGACAGUGGUACAUACAUGCUGUGAACAGCCCGUUCCAUCUCCUCCUAAAUAUGUUCUAUUGGGUUGAGGUCUGUGGACUGACCCGGCCACAACAAUAAACUGAACUGGCUGUCAUGUUCCAGGGGAUGUUUCCACUCCUCAACUGUCCAGUGUUGGUGAUCGAGUGCCCACUGGAGCCACUUCUUCUUGUUUUUAGUUGAUAGGAGUGGAACCCAGUGUGGUCAGGACAGGAGGCAGGCAGAAUGGGAAUGUGUGUGUGUUUUGAGUAUCUGAGAGUAGCUAAGUAUGUUAGUAGGCAAUAAAAAAAACUUUACCUUCAGACUGCCUGCCCUUUUUUAAUAGCCAGGCAGCUGCACACAUUCCAGCAAAUAAACACCUGUUUCAAAUAAAUGCUGUGUCUAAAUGUAAUUGUUUACGAGUGAACUUCAGUGAGUACAGUAAAGAUAAAGGAGAGUCAUGGAUGAGACGGCAGUGUGGUUUGACAUGGUCGACUCAACUACGGUGGAUACAAGAGGUGCAACGAGUGAGACAAUGGUGCUGAAACGUGAAAUCGGGGGGUGUAUGAUGGGCAGCCUAGUCUUUGCAUGUCUGAUCUGUGAUGGAUUUGUUAUUACAAUGUUUAUACUGGUCACAAACAGUGUGGUAGUCUUUUCAACAUUUUAUUGAGCACACUAUGUGUGUUAAGGAAGUAGACGCCUGGCUGAAAUAAAAGCCUGUCUCUAAUAAGCGCCGGUUGUGUUCAGUGAUUAAAGCAAAUAAACACCUGGGAUAUUAUUUGAAGUUUUACAGUAUUUGGUAUUGAAGGAUAGAGGAAGGGACAGACUUGGAGAACCUGAGAGGAAAAGAGAAAAUCAAUGCAAGACAGAGCAGACAAAAGGGAAACAGACAAGAGUAAGUGAAGGAAGGAGAGUGGGUAGAGAGAAUAAAACGAGGAUAGAGGAAGGGACAGACUUGGAGAACCUGAGAGGAAAA
Molecule: long non-coding RNA, 4994 nt
Organism: Oncorhynchus gorbuscha (pink salmon)
Lineage: Eukaryota; Metazoa; Chordata; Actinopteri; Salmoniformes; Salmonidae
Exons: 2
Source: RefSeq, a predicted model, not a curated record